Molecule: ribosomal RNA, 470 nt
Filed under: uncultured organism
Description: partial 16S ribosomal RNA
Rfam family: Bacterial small subunit ribosomal RNA
Source: RNAcentral
ACUCCUGCGGGAGGCAGCAGUGGGGAAUAUUGCACAAUGGGCGCAAGCCUGAUGCAGCCAUGCCGCGUGUAUGAAGAAGGCCUUCGGGUUGUAAAGUACUUUCAGCGGGGAGGAAGGCGAUAAGGUUAAUAACCUUGUCGAUUGACGUUACCCGCAGAAGAAGCACCGGCUAACUCCGUGCCAGCAGCCGCGGUAAUACGGAGGGUGCAAGCGUUAAUCGGAAUUACUGGGCGUAAAGCGCACGCAGGCGGUCUGUCAAGUCGGAUGUGAAAUCCCCGGGCUCAACCUGGGAACUGCAUUCGAAACUGGCAGGCUAGAGUCUUGUAGAGGGGGGUAGAAUUCCAGGUGUAGCGGUGAAAUGCGUAGAGAUCUGGAGGAAUACCGGUGGCGAAGGCGGCCCCCUGGACAAAGACUGACGCUCAGGUGCGAAAGCGUGGGGAGCAAACAGGAUUAGAAACCCUUGUAGUCCC